RNAcentral lists this ribosomal RNA (807 nucleotides) under Halomonas sp. YCSD7. RNAcentral describes it as "bacterial SSU rRNA". It matches the Rfam family "Bacterial small subunit ribosomal RNA", at positions 372 to 1173 of the family's 1533-position model. Lineage: Bacteria; Pseudomonadati; Pseudomonadota; Gammaproteobacteria; Oceanospirillales; Halomonadaceae. The record is from RNAcentral.
UGGGCGCAGCCUGAUCCAGCCAUGCCGCGUGUGUGAAGAAGGCCCUCGGGUUGUAAAGCACUUUCAGUGGGGAAGAAGGCCUUGCGGUUAAUACCCGCGAGGAAGGACAUCACCCACAGAAGAAGCACCGGCUAACUCCGUGCCAGCAGCCGCGGUAAUACGGAGGGUGCGAGCGUUAAUCGGAAUUACUGGGCGUAAAGCGCGCGUAGGCGGCUUGAUAAGCCGGUUGUGAAAGCCCCGGGCUCAACCUGGGAAUGGCAUCCGGAACUGUCAGGCUAGAGUGCAGGAGAGGAAGGUAGAAUUCCCGGUGUAGCGGUGAAAUGCGUAGAGAUCGGGAGGAAUACCAGUGGCGAAGGCGGCCUUCUGGACUGACACUGACGCUGAGGUGCGAAAGCGUGGGUAGCAAACAGGAUUAGAUACCCUGGUAGUCCACGCCGUAAACGAUGUCGACUAGCCGUUGGGGUCCUCGAGACCUUUGUGGCGCAGUUAACGCGAUAAGUCGACCGCCUGGGGAGUACGGCCGCAAGGUUAAAACUCAAAUGAAUUGACGGGGGCCCGCACAAGCGGUGGAGCAUGUGGUUUAAUUCGAUGCAACGCGAAGAACCUUACCUACCCUUGACAUCCUCGGAAGCCGAAAGAGAUUUCGGUGUGCCUUCGGGAGCCGAGUGACAGGUGCUGCAUGGCUGUCGUCAGCUCGUGUUGUGAAAUGUUGGGUUAAGUCCCGUAACGAGCGCAACCCUUGUCCCUAUUUGCCAGCGAUUCGGUCGGGAACUCUAGGGAGACUGCCGGUGACAAACCGGAGGAAGG